Molecule: ribosomal RNA, 481 nt
Filed under: uncultured soil bacterium
Lineage: Bacteria
Description: bacterial SSU rRNA
Rfam family: Bacterial small subunit ribosomal RNA
Source: RNAcentral
AGAUCGAACGCUGGCGGAAUGCUUUACACAUGCAAGUCGAACGGCAGCACGGGGGCAACUCUGGUGGCGAGUGGCGAACGGGUGAGUAACAUAUCGGAACGUACCCCGACGUGGGGGAUAACUCUCCGAAAGGAGAGCUAAUACCGCAUACGACCUGAGGGUGAAAGCGGGGGACCUGCAAGGGCCUCGCGCGAUGGGAGCGGCCGAUAUCGGAUUAGCUAGUUGGUGAGGUAAAGGCUCACCGAGGCGACGAUCCGUAGCGGGUCUGAGAGGACGACCCGCCACACUGGAACUGAGACACGGUCCAGACUCCUACGGGAGGCAGCAGUGGGAAUUUGGACAAUGGGGCAACCCUGAUCCAGCCAUUCCGCGUGAGUGAAGAAGGCCUUCGGGUUGUAAGCUCUUCAGCGAGGAACGAAACGGUCGGACCUACGUAAGUAAGGUCGGACGUAAUGACGGUACCUGCAGAAGAGCGACCGAC